RNAcentral lists this ribosomal RNA (112 nucleotides) under Acanthosepion pharaonis. The record is from RNAcentral. Lineage: Eukaryota; Metazoa; Mollusca; Cephalopoda; Sepiida; Sepiidae.
UUACGGUCAAAUCACGCUGAAACACCGGUUCUCGUUCGAUCACCGAAGUUAAGCAUUGUAGAGCCAGGUCAGUACUUAGAUGGGGACCGCUUGGGGAACACCUGGUACUAUA